UCCGGUUUGUCACCGGCAGUCUCCCUAGAGUGCCCUUGCGUAGCAACUAGGGACAAGGGUUGCGCUCGUUGCGGGACUUAACCCAACAUCUCACGACACGAGCUGACGACAGCCAUGCAGCACCUGUGUUCCGGUUCCCUUUCAGGCACACCCACCUUUCAGCAGGCUUCCAGACAUGUCAAGGGUAGGUAAGGUGGGGAUGACGUCACUGUA
RNAcentral lists this unclassified non-coding RNA (213 nucleotides) under uncultured Gammaproteobacteria bacterium. Its description in RNAcentral is "contains 16S-23S intergenic spacer region". Lineage: Bacteria; Pseudomonadati; Pseudomonadota; Gammaproteobacteria. The record is from RNAcentral.